This 597-nucleotide ribosomal RNA is filed under the name Hanseniaspora opuntiae. RNAcentral's name for it is "partial large subunit ribosomal RNA". It matches the Rfam family "Eukaryotic large subunit ribosomal RNA", at positions 46 to 658 of the family's 3401-position model. Lineage: Eukaryota; Fungi; Ascomycota; Saccharomycetes; Saccharomycodales; Saccharomycodaceae. The record is from RNAcentral.
AAAAACGGGGAAAAGAAACCAACUGGGAUUACCUUAGUAACGGCGAGUGAAGCGGUAAAAGCUCAAAUUUGAAAUCUGGUACUUUCAGUGCCCGAGUUGUAAUUUGUAGAAUUUGUCUUUGAUUAGGUCCUUGUCUAUGUUCCUUGGAACAGGACGUCAUAGAGGGUGAGAAUCCCGUUUGGCGAGGAUACCUUUUCUCUGUAAGACUUUUUCGAAGAGUCGAGUUGUUUGGGAAUGCAGCUCAAAGUGGGUGGUAAAUUCCAUCUAAAGCUAAAUAUUGGCGAGAGACCGAUAGCGAACAAGUACAGUGAUGGAAAGAUGAAAAGAACUUUGAAAAGAGAGUGAAAAAGUACGUGAAAUUGUUGAAAGGGAAGGGCAUUUGAUCAGACAUGGUGUUUUUUGCAUGCACUCGCCUCUCGUGGGCUUGGGCCUCUCAAAAAUUUCACUGGGCCAACAUCAAUUCUGGCAGUAGGAUAAAUCAUUAAGAAUGUAGCUACCUCGGUAGUGUUAUAGCUUAUUGGAAUACUGCUAGCUGGGAUUGAGGACUGCGCUUCGGCAAGGAUGUUGGCAUAAUGGUUAAAUGCCGCCCGUCUAAAA